ACAGAGAGACAGAGAGCGAGCGAGCGAGGAGAGAGCCGGCCAGCCGAGCGUGGAGGACAAGAGAAGGCGGCCAACCGUGGGGCAAACUCCGGUUCCCGCGGAGGGCGGGCCCGGCCCCGGCUUCCCCGGUCCACCGAGGGCGAAGGCCUCUGCCCCCCCGGGGCGGGGGUCCCCGGGCCCGGCCCGCAGACCCAUGUCCCGCUCUACCGGCGCCACGCUGCCCAAUGAAUCUGAGCGAAAUCCCGAAGGAAAAUAAAUAAUUUCGUCCAUGGAGGGGAGAGGACGACAGGAGAAAAGGAACUCCGGAAAAAGAUUUUCCCAGGAUGGCGGGCUCGCGGAAUAUCGGGAUUCCGGUGACCGCAUUCAACGCUGGCUGAUCCAGAUGGGAGACCAGGCCCGCCGGCCCUGGAGGGAGAAUCCGGCGGGAUCCCGGAGGCGGCGGCAAAUGGCCCGGAGUCGGAGCGAAGGCGCGAUG
This is a long non-coding RNA of Ornithorhynchus anatinus (platypus), 475 nucleotides long. RefSeq lists it as uncharacterized. The transcript is spliced from 4 exons. NCBI's taxonomy places the organism in Eukaryota, Metazoa, Chordata, Mammalia, Monotremata, Ornithorhynchidae. The record is from RefSeq and is a predicted model, not a curated record.